Pelobates cultripes (western spadefoot toad) is the source of this 346-nucleotide non-coding RNA. The record is from the annotation of a GenBank genome assembly. NCBI's taxonomy places the organism in Eukaryota, Metazoa, Chordata, Amphibia, Anura, Pelobatidae.
AUUUAGGAUAGUCAAGAAAAAGCCAGGACACUGACUAAAGCACAAAUUUCUCUAUUUAUAGUGGGAGUGCUUUCGCUUUAAAUCCACAUCCCCAAAACGAAAAGGGACAGUGGAAAUUACACAAAUUCGCAUCAUUGGCAUAGGGCAUAGUGACACCAACAUUUAUGCAUUGCGUGAAAAAAGAAAUCAGAGCCGAAGCAUCCAGCGUCGAAAAUGGCAACUGCAUUGAGAGAGGUGCAAUCACCUCUCUUCCUUCACCACCGCCAUGUCCGUCUAAAACAUUGCUCUAAGUUCAUGAACUAGAGCCUUAAUAUCUUCCUUAGUAGAAGGAUCAGUAUCUGUUUAG